UAGUCCACGCCGUAAACGAUGAAUACUAGGUGUCGGGGGUCGAACCUCGGUGCCGCAGCUAACGCAUUAAGUAUUCCGCCUGGGGAGUACGGUCGCAAGACUGAAACUCAAAGGAAUUGACGGGGCCCGCACAAGCAGCGGAGCAUGUGGUUUAAUUCGAAGCAACGCGAAGAACCUUACCAAAUCUUGACAUCCUUUUGACCAUCAUUUAAUCAUGAUCUCUUCUUCGGAAGCAGAAGUGACAGGUGGUGCAUGGUUGUCGUCAGCUCGUGUCGUGAGAUGUUGGGUUAAGUCCCGCAACGAGCGCAACCCUUAUCUUUAGUUGUCAUCAAGUAAUGUUGGACCCUCUAGAGAGACUGCCGGUGAUAAACCGGGAGGAAGGUGGGGAUGACGUCAAAUCAUCAUGCCCCUUAUGAUUUGGGGCUACACACGUGCUACAAUGGUCGGUACAACAGGCAGUGAAAGGGGUAACCUGGGAACGAAUCCU
Molecule: ribosomal RNA, 487 nt
Filed under: uncultured bacterium
Lineage: Bacteria
Description: bacterial SSU rRNA
Rfam family: Bacterial small subunit ribosomal RNA
Source: RNAcentral